Molecule: ribosomal RNA, 407 nt
Filed under: uncultured bacterium
Lineage: Bacteria
Description: partial 16S ribosomal RNA
Rfam family: Bacterial small subunit ribosomal RNA
Source: RNAcentral
GACGAACGCUGGCGGCGUGCCUAAUACAUGCAAGUAGGACGCAGUUGCGAACGGGUGAGUAACGCGUAGGUAACUGCCUAUUAGAGGGGGAUAACUAUUGGAAACGAUAGCUAAUACCGCAUACUAGUAGAUGGACCUGCGUUGUAUUAGCUAGUAGGUAGGGUAAUGGCCUACCUAGGCGACGAUACAUAGCCGAGCUGAGGGGGUGAUCAGCCACACUGGGAAUGAGAAACGGCCCAGACUCCGAAGGGGAGCAGCAGUAGGGAAUCUUCGGCAAUGGGGGGAACCCUGACCGAGCAACGCCGGGGGAGUGAAGAAGGUUUUCGGAUCGUAAAGCUCUGUUGUGAAGGAAGCGGUACUUAACCAGAAAGGGACGGCUAACUACGUGCCAGCAGCCGCGGUAAUAC